This is a long non-coding RNA of Salmo salar (Atlantic salmon), 1945 nucleotides long. RefSeq lists it as uncharacterized. NCBI's taxonomy places the organism in Eukaryota, Metazoa, Chordata, Actinopteri, Salmoniformes, Salmonidae. The record is from RefSeq and is a predicted model, not a curated record.
GGCAGGCUGACCACCUGUUACGCAAGUGCAGCAAGGAGCCAAGAGUGAGAGAGUACAUCACAUUCCAGGAAAUCUCCUUGCUGAGGGUGGCGUUGAUCAUGAACUGCUUCUCAUGGGGCUUGAUUUGCAGUAGUCUCCACAACCGGAACACACUGGCACAGGGUGUCCAUGCAUCAGAUGGACUGGAAAACAAAGAGACAUUUCAAAUAACAUUUUAUUAGUCACAUGCGCCUUACAGUGAAAUGGUUACUUACGAGCCCCUAACCAACAGUGCUGUUUCAAAAAAUAUGGAUAAGACAUCUGGUGUCUGGAUAUUCCUCUUCUGCCAUGAUGGAUGAGCUACCUUUUCUGGUAAAUACAGGGCUAUUUAUCUUUCCCACCGGAAAAUGGCAGCUGCAGACCCGAGUGUUGUCACUGGGUUUCCGGUCCGCCCAUCUGAAAGACAGCUAGUAAAAGUAACGUAUCUGUGUAACUAAGUUGAUUACUAAAAUGGUAACAUCUAUAUUAAAAUACAAUAACCCACAGACUUGACUAUAGUAACGGUAAAAUAGACUGUCUUUGGUCUAUCUCUACAUCUAAAAUCCUACUAUGUAGAUGGGCCAUUUCUGCUGGGAUGGAGGAAAUAUCUGGAAUGCUCAACUAGGUGAUCGGGACAGUCAAGAGUACCAUUUGCCCGAAGAGGUAUAAUAUUGCGAUGAGCUAUAUGGCUGUUCUUCAGAUUCUAAUUCUCAAGAGGAAAGUUAAAACACUUAGCCGUAAGGUCACUGAGGAGGACCAACAGUGGUAGGUGGAUUAUCUGAAAGGGACUGACAUGCAGGGAUGUAACAUAAGGAUUUUGGGCACUGGUCAGCAGACACAAUUUCUACAUUCAGGUCCUAAAUAUGUGGCAUGCAAUGUUUGUAAAGUCAACAUUUUCACUGCUGUGUCAGGCUAGUUUGGCCCGUUGUCUAUUAGCCCAGUCUGAAAAGUACUAGCCUCGGUCUAGCUUAAUUUCCAUCCCUGCUGAUUUCUGGUCAUAUUUUGGUCAUAAAUAAAGACGUCUCAAAAAAGACGUCUAAAACUGUCAUGACGUCGUGACCAGAAUAUGACAAUUGUCAGACGUCAUAAUGACGUUAUGUGCCUAUUGGGCAGUUUGUAACAGUGUGUCGCUGGCAACGACGAGGUUGUGUGUUCAAUUCCCGCAGGGAUCAUACACACCCAAAACAUGUUUUACCACUCACUGUUUUAAGUUGCUUUGGAUAAAAAUGGCUGCUAUAUUGUCAUGACUGUUAAAAGGGCAAUUUGUGGAGUUGAAAUGGCAUGGACUGCAAUCCUGAUAUAAAUGUACUGUCAUGUGUAUUGCAUUUAAAAAAAAACAAGAACUUCAGUUAAUAUUACCGGAGUCAUCACCCGCCUAUGUGAGCUGAAUCUCUGAGACCUCAGGGGGAGCUGAAGAAAAGUAAGGGAGGACAGGACAAGUAAUUUGAAUACAAUUAUUACAAAUACACUGAGUCAAAAGGAAGAGGAAAAGCACAAAGAAUGAGAGGGUUUCUGUAAGAAAGACAUGGUUGUGUUCAAUUCUAUUUAAAUUAAAUUAAAUUGAAAUUGACCCCAAACCAGGUGCGAGAGCUGUCCCUUACCUAAUAUAGUGAACUUGUCCGACAUCCUCUCCACCACCACAUCUUUCCCCAUAUAGGAAACCUGGCACAUGAACACCGCCCCCUUGUGGAUGGAGAUCUGGGAGAUGGAGUGCGAGGACAGCAGUCUGCUUGCUGCCGUCCCCUGUCGAGUACAGUCGUGGCCAAAAGUUUUGAGAAUGACACAAAGAUGAGUUUUCCCAAAGUCUGCCGCCUCAGUUUGUAUGAUGGCAAUUUGCAUAUACUCCAGAAUGUUAUGAAGAGUGAUCAGAUGAAUUGCAAUUAAUUGCAAAGUCCCUCUUUGCCAUGCAAAUGAGCUGAUUCCCCAA